GACGAACGCUGGCGGCGUGCCUAACACAUGCAAGUCGAACGGAACUGUUUUGAAAGAUUUCUUCGGAAUGAAUUUGAUUUAGUUUAGUGGCGGACGGGUGAGUAACGCGUGAGUAACCUGCCUUCAAGAGGGGGAUAACAUUCUGAAAAGAAUGCUAAUACCGCAUGACAUAUCGGAACCACAUGAUUCUGAUAUCAAAGAUUUUAUCGCUUGAAGAUGGACUCGCGUCCGAUUAGUUAGUUGGUGAGGUAACGGCUCACCAAGACCGCGAUCGGUAGCCGGACUGAGAGGUUGAACGGCCACAUUGGGACUGAGACACGGCCCAGACUCCUACGGGAGGCAGCAGUGGGGGAUAUUGCGCAAUGGGGGCAACCCUGACGCAGCAACGCCGCGUGAAGGAUGAAGGUUUUCGGAUUGUAAACUUCUUUUAUUAAGGACGAAAAUUGACGGUACUUAAUGAAUAAGCUC
Molecule: ribosomal RNA, 468 nt
Filed under: uncultured bacterium
Lineage: Bacteria
Description: bacterial SSU rRNA
Rfam family: Bacterial small subunit ribosomal RNA
Source: RNAcentral